This 253-nucleotide ribosomal RNA is filed under the name uncultured bacterium. Its description in RNAcentral is "partial 16S ribosomal RNA". It matches the Rfam family "Bacterial small subunit ribosomal RNA", at positions 524 to 776 of the family's 1533-position model. The record is from RNAcentral.
UACGUAGGGUGCAAGCGUUGUCCGGAAUUAUUGGGCGUAAAGAGCUCGUAGGCGGUCUGUCGCGUCGGAUGUGAAAACUCGGGGCUCAACCCCGGGCCUGCAUUCGAUACGGGCAGACUAGAGUUCGGCAGGGGAGACUGGAAUUCCUGGUGUAGCGGUGAAAUGCGCAGAUAUCAGGAGGAACACCGGUGGCGAAGGCGGCUCACUGGCCCGGUACUGACGCUGAGGCACGAAAGCGUGGGGAGCAAACAGG